GCAAAGUGUUUUGCUUGCACAGGCCUAAUUAUAGACUGUAAUCCCGUGAGAAUUCUUACUUCGGCAAGUUUGGUUAAAAUUUCUGGCGAUGAAAACAAGAUUGAUGAUAACUUGCAGAUUGAAGUGUACCUUAAUAAUACAGAACAAGUCACGGGGACAUUGAGACAUUAUGAUCUAUGCUACAAUGUUGCGGUUGUAGAGAUCAUAGGUUCCUGCGGUUCUACCGCAGUGGGAUUGAGGAGGCAUAUUUCUUUCACCCCUAAUAUGGAGGUUUUAGCUGUAGGGCGUCUCAUUGAACAUCGGAAACUAAUGGCCUCAAGAGGGGUGUUAAUUGACAGAAAAGGCAAACUUGCUUGUGAAGAGCUUAGGAUUUCCACUUGUAAAAUCACCAAGGCCGGAAUUGGAGGGCCUCUUAUUGAUGCUCGAGGGAAUUUUGUUGGUAUGAAUUUCUUCCAUGAUGAAGAAACCC
Aegilops tauschii subsp. strangulata is the source of this 469-nucleotide non-coding RNA. Lineage: Eukaryota; Viridiplantae; Streptophyta; Magnoliopsida; Poales; Poaceae. The record is from RefSeq and is a predicted model, not a curated record.